This 914-nucleotide long non-coding RNA is filed under the name Sus scrofa (pig). Its description in RNAcentral is "lncRNA (ENSSSCG00035045590.1)". Lineage: Eukaryota; Metazoa; Chordata; Mammalia; Artiodactyla; Suidae. The record is from RNAcentral.
GACGGCACACACUGUAGCUAUUAUCUAAUCAUCUAAUAAUUAGCUCGACAUUUAGAAAAGGGCCUCGAGGGCCUUGGGAUGACACUGCCUUUUUCAGAUGCAAAGAUACUGUGAUUUUGCACUUGUGCCGAGCAAGAUGAGAGCAGAAGGGAAAAAUGACCCCAGGUUUUGCACGCCCUCAUCAGCCCUGAGCAGAGGCAGAUGAUUGGAGAGCUAAUGGAGCGUCAUCUUCAGGGCCCCUCAACUGCACAGCCCUGAGUGUUCUGUGAAAUUUCCGAGUGAAGAGGCUGUGGAGGAGAAAGCAGCCUUCCGCCCCAACACCUGGAGCACUGCUGUCCUUCAGUUUCCCUCAAUAGCCCCUGGAACAGAUGACCAGGGAAAAGCAUGUGAUUUCAGCCAGGACACGGAGGAGAGAGGAGCUUCCCAGCGUGGAGAGAAUGCAUCAAUGGCAUCACAGUUCCAGCCAGUUCAGGGACAUGUAUCCUUCCCCAGCGAGGUGACUCUGCUGGCUGUUGUGACUUUUUCUGAUCCCCACAUGGAGAAGUGGUCUAGCUCACCGGAGUGCCAUGUGACUCAUCCGGCAAGUGGCACAACGCUGGACAUCCAGGCUGACUUGAAAAUACGGUUCGCCUGUUCACUGUGAUUCUAUGGGGAUGCUGGGCUCUUCCAGCUGCAGAUAUUUGCCACCAGGGUGGGGUGUUGCUGCUGCCCUCUCCACUGCCUCCUUGCACACACCACUCAGACCAUUCCGCACCAGUGCCAAACUCCAUCCGGAGCGUGGAGUAAGGUGGAGGGCUCCGGAUCAGCUCUGCAUGUUAACAGGCAUGGCUAAAUAGAGACCCGAGAGUGCCUGGCUUCCUGAAACCAGGCAAAAGCUGCGGUCCUUCCUUUUUGCUUGAGGAAGACUCGGGGCG